AUGAACGCUGGCGGCGUGCCUAAUACAUGCAAGUCGAGCGAACAGACGAGGAGCUUGCUCCUCUGACGUUAGCGGCGGACGGGUGAGUAACACGUGGAUAACCUACCUAUAAGACUGGGAUAACUUCGGGAAACCGGAGCUAAUACCGGAUAAUAUAUUGAACCGCAUGGUUCAAUAGUGAAAGACGGUUUUGCUGUCACUUAUAGAUGGAUCCGCGCCGCAUUAGCUAGUUGGUAAGGUAACGGCUUACCAAGGCGACGCUGCGUAGCCGACCUGAGAGGGUGAUCGGCCACACUGGAACUGAGACACGGUCCAGACUCCUACGGGAGGCAGCAGUAGGGAAUCUUCCGCAAUGGGCGAAAGCCUGACGGAGCAACGCCGCGUGAGUGAUGAAGGUCUUCGGAUCGUAAAACUCUGUUAUUAGGGAAGAACAAAUGUGUAAGUAACUAUGCACGUCUUGACGGUACCUAAUCAGAAAGCCACGGCUAACUACGUG
Molecule: ribosomal RNA, 496 nt
Filed under: uncultured bacterium
Lineage: Bacteria
Description: partial 16S ribosomal RNA
Rfam family: Bacterial small subunit ribosomal RNA
Source: RNAcentral